RNAcentral lists this non-coding RNA (30 nucleotides) under Rattus norvegicus (Norway rat). Lineage: Eukaryota; Metazoa; Chordata; Mammalia; Rodentia; Muridae. The record is from RNAcentral.
UGUGUAUAUAAGGGUUAAAACCCUCCUGGA